RNAcentral lists this ribosomal RNA (603 nucleotides) under Pseudonocardia sp. RNAcentral describes it as "bacterial SSU rRNA". It matches the Rfam family "Bacterial small subunit ribosomal RNA", at positions 44 to 663 of the family's 1533-position model. The record is from RNAcentral. Lineage: Bacteria; Bacillati; Actinomycetota; Actinomycetes; Pseudonocardiales; Pseudonocardiaceae.
GUGCUUACACAUGCAGUCGAGCGGUAAGGCCCUUUCGGGGGUACACGAGCGGCGAACGGGUGAGUAACACGUGGGUGACCUGCCCUCCACUCUGGGAUAAGCCCGGGAAACUGGGUCUAAUACCGGAUAGGACCACUGAUCGCAUGGUUGGUGGUGGAAAGUUUUUUCGGUGGGGGAUGGGCCCGCGGCCUAUCAGCUUGUUGGUGGGGUGAUGGCCUACCAAGGCGGUGACGGGUAGCCGGCCUGAGAGGGCGACCGGCCACACUGGGACUGAGACACGGCCCAGACUCCUACGGGAGGCAGCAGUGGGGAAUAUUGCGCAAUGGGCGGAAGCCUGACGCAGCGACGCCGCGUGGGGGAUGACGGCCUUCGGGUUGUAAACCUCUUUCGCCAGGGACGAAGAGCAAUUGACGGUACCUGGAGAAGAAGCACCGGCCAACUACGUGCCAGCAGCCGCGGUAACACGUAGGGUGCGAGCGUUGUCCGGAAUUAUUGGGCGUAAAGAGCUCGUAGGCGGUGUGUCGCGUCGGCCGUGAAAACUUGGGGCUUAACUCUGAGCGUGCGGUCGAUACGGGCAUCACUUGAGUUCGGCAGGGGAGACUG